UACGGGGGGGGCAAGCGUUGUUCGGAAUUACUGGGCGUAAAGGGCUCGUAGGUGGCCAACUAAGUCAGACGUGAAAUCCCUCAGCUUAACUGGGGAACUGCGUCUGAUACUGGAUGGCUUGAGUUUGGGAGAGGGAUGCGGAAUUCCAGGUGUAGCGGUGAAAUGCGUAGAUAUCUGGAGGAACACCGGUGGCGAAGGCGGCUGCCUGGCCUUUAACUGACGCUGAGGCGCGAAAGCGUGGGGAGCGAACAGG
This 253-nucleotide ribosomal RNA is filed under the name uncultured bacterium. Its description in RNAcentral is "partial 16S ribosomal RNA". It matches the Rfam family "Bacterial small subunit ribosomal RNA", at positions 524 to 776 of the family's 1533-position model. The record is from RNAcentral.